AGAGUUUGAUCAUGGCUCAGAUUGAACGCUGGCGGCAGGCCUAACACAUGCAAGUCGAACGGUAACAGGAAUUAGCUUGCUAAUUUGCUGACGAGUGGCGGACGGGUGAGUAAUGCUUGGGAACUUGCCUUUGCGAGGGGGACAACAGUUGGAAACGACUGCUAAUACCGCAUAACGUCUUCGGACCAAACGGGGCUUAGGCUCUGGCGCAAAGAGAAGCCCAAGUGAGAUUAGCUAGUUGGUGAGGUAAAGGCUCACCAAGGCGACGGAUCUCUAGCUGUUCUGAGAGGGAAGAUCAGCCACACUGGGACUGAGACACGGCCCAGACUCCUACGGGAGGCAGCAGUGGGGAAUAUUGCACAAUGGGGGCAACCCUGAUGCAGCCAUGCCGCGUGUGUGAAGAAGACCUUCGGGUUGUAAAGCACUUUCAGUGGUGAGGAAAGGUGUGUAGUGAAUAGCUGCAUGCUGUGACGAUAACCACAGAAGAAGCACCGGCUA
Molecule: ribosomal RNA, 498 nt
Filed under: marine bacterium MC27
Lineage: Bacteria; Pseudomonadati; Pseudomonadota; Gammaproteobacteria
Description: bacterial SSU rRNA
Rfam family: Bacterial small subunit ribosomal RNA
Source: RNAcentral